Molecule: ribosomal RNA, 253 nt
Filed under: uncultured bacterium
Lineage: Bacteria
Description: partial 16S ribosomal RNA
Rfam family: Bacterial small subunit ribosomal RNA
Source: RNAcentral
UACAGAGGUCCCAAGCGUUGUUCGGAUUUACUGGGCGUAAAGGGUGCGUAGGUGGUCGGGUAAGUCUGAUGUGAAAUCUCGGAGCUUAACUCCGAAACUGCAUUGGAUACUAUUCGGCUUGAGGGUUGGAGGGGAGACUGGAAUUCUCGGUGUAGCAGUGAAAUGCGUAGAUAUCGAGAGGAGCACCAGUGGCGAAGGCGAGUCUUUGGACAACUCCUGACACUGAGGCACGAAAGCCAGGGGAGCAAACGGG